This 254-nucleotide ribosomal RNA is filed under the name uncultured bacterium. RNAcentral describes it as "partial 16S ribosomal RNA". It matches the Rfam family "Bacterial small subunit ribosomal RNA", at positions 524 to 776 of the family's 1533-position model. The record is from RNAcentral.
UACGAAGGGGGCUAGCGUUGUUCGGAAUCACUGGGCGUAAAGCGCACGCAGGCGGAUCGUUAAGUCAGGGGUGAAAUGCCGAGGCUCAACCUCGGAACUGCCUUUGAUACUGGCGAUCUUAGAGUCCGGGAGAGGUGAGUGGAACUCCGAGUGUAGAGGUGAAAUUCGUAGAUAUUCGGAGGAACACCAGUGGCGAAGGCGGCUCACUGGCUCGAACCUGACGCUGAGGUGCGAAAGCGUGGGGAGCAAACAGG